CGGUUCGAUGGCGUAAUUGGUUAUCGCAUCUGUCUAACACACAGAAGGUCCCCAUUUCGAGCCUGGGUCGAUUGA
Molecule: transfer RNA, 75 nt
Filed under: Collybiopsis luxurians FD-317 M1
Lineage: Eukaryota; Fungi; Basidiomycota; Agaricomycetes; Agaricales; Omphalotaceae
Description: tRNA-Val (AAC) (tRNA-Val-AAC-4-1)
Rfam family: tRNA
About the family: Transfer RNA (tRNA) molecules are approximately 80 nucleotides in length. Their secondary structure includes four short double-helical elements and three loops (D, anti-codon, and T loops).
Source: RNAcentral